Long non-coding RNA from Sitophilus oryzae (rice weevil), 257 nucleotides. RefSeq lists it as uncharacterized. The record is from RefSeq and is a predicted model, not a curated record. Lineage: Eukaryota; Metazoa; Arthropoda; Insecta; Coleoptera; Curculionidae. The transcript has 2 exons.
UUAUUAAAUGAAAGUGUGAAAGAGAUAUCAAGGGCUAUUCAGUUAAAAUAUCAACCGGCCAGUCUAGGCCCUGUUGUGAACCAGAAGGUCUGCUAAGUUGGAUGUUGGAUAUAGAAUGGAAGGAAUAUCAUGGCCGAGAACAAGGCAUAAUUGUAUGUCCCUUGAUGUAGGAGGGCCUGUAAAAAUAAAUAAUUCCUGGAGCCAUCUCGAGGUAUAGUACUCAAGUCGGAGCGAAUCAAUUGAUAGCACGAUGAAAA